CAAAUACACUCAACAGAAAAUGGCAGCAAGAAACCAAACAAAAGACCUUAAGUGUGCCACACAUCUCCUGAGUGAUAAGUUCAGAAACAUGACUGAGGAGAAGAAGGCAAUUGUGAGGGAUCUCGGAUUCGGUGGGUUGAUGCACAUCCCACCACUAAGGGUGGAUCACCAACUCUUAAGGGAACUGGCAAACAACUUCAAACUUGGGGAGAACAGACUGAAGACAGGAUAUGGUUCUUUCCAAAUAACACCAAAAACAAUAGGUGAUGCGCUUGGCAUCAAUGCAACAGGUAACUAGCUCAAAAUUAUAGAUGUAUA
Non-coding RNA from Arachis ipaensis, 318 nucleotides. The record is from RefSeq and is a predicted model, not a curated record. NCBI's taxonomy places the organism in Eukaryota, Viridiplantae, Streptophyta, Magnoliopsida, Fabales, Fabaceae.